GGUUAAGCGACUAAGCGUACACGGUGGAUGCCCUGGCAGUCAGAGGCGAUGAAGGGCGUGCUAAUCUGCGAUAAGCGCCGGUAAGGUGAUAUGAACCGUUAUAACCGGCGAUACCCGAAUGGGGAAACCCAGUGUGAUUCGUCACACUAUCAUUAACUGAAUCCAUAGGUUAAUGAGGCGAACCGGGGGAACUGAAACAUCUAAGUACCCCGAGGAAAAGAAAUCAACCGAGAUUCCCCCAGUAGCGGCGAGCGAACGGGGAGGAGCCCAGAGCCUGAAUCAGCAUGUGUGUUAGUGGAAGCGUCUGGAAAGGCGCGCGAUACAGGGUGACAGCCCCGUACACAAAAGCGCAUAUGCUGUGAGCUCGAUGAGUAGGGCGGGACACGUGGUAUCCUGUCUGAAUAUGGGGGGACCAUCCUCCAAGGCUAAAUACUCCUGACUGACCGAUAGUGAACCAGUACCGUGAGGGAAAGGCGAAAAGAACCCCG
This 488-nucleotide ribosomal RNA is filed under the name Salmonella enterica subsp. enterica serovar Kentucky. Its description in RNAcentral is "partial 23S ribosomal RNA". It matches the Rfam family "Bacterial large subunit ribosomal RNA", at positions 1 to 528 of the family's 2925-position model. The record is from RNAcentral. Lineage: Bacteria; Pseudomonadati; Pseudomonadota; Gammaproteobacteria; Enterobacterales; Enterobacteriaceae.